RNAcentral lists this ribosomal RNA (783 nucleotides) under uncultured bacterium. RNAcentral's name for it is "bacterial SSU rRNA". It matches the Rfam family "Bacterial small subunit ribosomal RNA", at positions 28 to 811 of the family's 1533-position model. The record is from RNAcentral.
GAUGAACGCUGGCGGCGUGCUUAACACAUGCAAGUCGAACGAAGCACUUUAACCUGAUUCUUCGGAUGAAGGUUUUUGUGACUGAGUGGCGGACGGGUGAGUAACGCGUGGGUAACCUGCCUCAUACAGGGGGAUAACAGUUAGAAAUGACUGCUAAUACCGCAUAAGACCACGGAGCCGCAUGGCUCAGUGGGAAAAACUCCGGUGGUAUGAGAUGGACCCGCGUCUGAUUAGGUAGUUGGUGGGGUAACGGCCUACCAAGCCAACGAUCAGUAGCCGACCUGAGAGGGUGACCGGCCACAUUGGGACUGAGACACGGCCCAAACUCCUACGGGAGGCAGCAGUGGGGAAUAUUGCACAAUGGGGGAAACCCUGAUGCAGCGACGCCGCGUGAGCGAAGAAGUAUUUCGGUAUGUAAAGCUCUAUCAGCAGGGAAGAAAAUGACGGUACCUGACUAAGAAGCACCGGCUAAAUACGUGCCAGCAGCCGCGGUAAUACGUAUGGUGCAAGCGUUAUCCGGAUUUACUGGGUGUAAAGGGAGCGUAGACGGCUGUGUAAGUCUGAAGUGAAAGCCUGGGGCUCAACCCCGGGACUGCUUUGGAAACUAUGCAGCUAGAGUGUCGGAGAGGUAAGUGGAAUUCCCAGUGUAGCGGUGAAAUGCGUAGAUAUUGGGAGGAACACCAGUGGCGCAGGCGGCUUACUGGACGAUGACUGACGUUGAGGCUCGAAAGCGUGGGGAGCAAACAGGAUUCGAUACCCUGGUAGUCCACGCCGUAAACGAUG